AUGUGUGAUACGCGCCCCACCCUGACGGUGCUUCCCCCCUCCGAUAAGGAGCUGCAGCAGGGGACGGCCACGCUCAUGUGCCUGGCCAACAAGGGCUUCCCCUCAGGCUGGAUUCUGGCCUGGAAGAUGGGCGGUGGCGGCAGCAUCAGCAGCAGCUGGGAGGAGAGCAUGAGCCCUGGGGCGCUGCAGAAGGAUGGCCUCUACAGCUGGAGCAGCACCCUGAGGCUCCGUGCAGACCAGUGGAGGAAGGUGGACUCUGUGACCUGUGAGGCCACCCAGGGCUCUCAGACUCUGGUCUCACGGUCCCUGAGCAGAGACCAGUGUCGCCAGUCCUGA
Notolabrus celidotus (New Zealand spotty) is the source of this 336-nucleotide non-coding RNA. The record is from the annotation of a RefSeq genome assembly. Lineage: Eukaryota; Metazoa; Chordata; Actinopteri; Labriformes; Labridae.